Molecule: ribosomal RNA, 253 nt
Filed under: uncultured bacterium
Lineage: Bacteria
Description: partial 16S ribosomal RNA
Rfam family: Bacterial small subunit ribosomal RNA
Source: RNAcentral
UACGAAGGGGGCUAGCGUUGUUCGGAAUUACUGGGCGUAAAGCGCACGUAGGCGGAUAUUUAAGUCAGGGGUGAAAUCCCGCAGCUCAACUGCGGAACUGCCUUUGAUACUGGGUAUCUCGAGUAUGGAAGAGGUGAGUGGAAUUGCGAGUGUAGAGGUGAAAUUCGUAGAUAUUCGCAGGAACACCAGUGGCGAAGGCGGCUCACUGGUCCAUUACUGACGCUGAGGUGCGAAAGCGUGGGGAGCAAACAGG